CCUACGGGAGGCAGCAGUGGGGAAUAUUGCACAAUGGGGGAAACCCUGAUGCAGCGACGCCGCGUGAGUGAAGAAGUAAUUCGUUAUGUAAAGCUCUAUCAGCAGGGCAGAAAAUGACGGUACCUGAGUAAGAAGCCCCGGCUAACUACGUGCCAGCAGCCGCGGUAAUACGUAGGGGGCAAGCGUUAUCCGGAUUUACUGGGUGGAAAGGGAGCGUAGACGGCAGUGCAAGUCUGGAGUGAAAGGCGGGGGCUCAACCCCCGGACUGCUCUGGAAACUGUACGGCUGGAGUGCAGGAGAGGUAAGUGGAAUUCCUAGUGUAGCGGUGAAAUGCGUAGAUAUUAGGAGGAACACCAGUGGCGAAGGCGGCUUACUGGACUGUAACUGACGUUGAGGCUCGAAAGCGUGGGGAGCAAACAGGAUUAGAUACCCCAGUAGUC
Molecule: ribosomal RNA, 440 nt
Filed under: uncultured bacterium
Lineage: Bacteria
Description: partial 16S ribosomal RNA
Rfam family: Bacterial small subunit ribosomal RNA
Source: RNAcentral